RNAcentral lists this ribosomal RNA (739 nucleotides) under uncultured Neisseria sp. RNAcentral describes it as "bacterial SSU rRNA". It matches the Rfam family "Bacterial small subunit ribosomal RNA", at positions 48 to 776 of the family's 1533-position model. Lineage: Bacteria; Pseudomonadati; Pseudomonadota; Betaproteobacteria; Neisseriales; Neisseriaceae. The record is from RNAcentral.
CUUUCACAUGCAAGUCGGACGGCAGCACAGAGAAGCUUGCUUCUUGGGUGGCGAGUGGCGAACGGGUGAGUAAUAUAUCGGAACGUACUGAGUAAUGGGGGAUAACUAAUCGAAAGAUUAGCUAAUACCGCAUAUUCUCUGAGGAGGAAAGCAGGGGACCUUCGGGCCUUGCGUUAUUCGAGCGGCCGAUAUCUGAUUAGCUAGUUGGUGGGGUAAAGGCCUACCAAGGCGACGAUCAGUAGCGGGUCUGAGAGGAUGAUCCGCCACACUGGGACUGAGACACGGCCCAGACUCCUACGGGAGGCAGCAGUGGGGAAUUUUGGACAAUGGGCGCAAGCCUGAUCCAGCCAUGCCGCGUGUCUGAAGAAGGCCUUCGGGUUGUAAAGGACUUUUGUCAGGGAAGAAAAGGCUGUUGCUAAUACCGACAGCUGAUGACGGUACCUGAAGAAUAAGCACCGGCUAACUACGUGCCAGCAGCCGCGGUAAUACGUAGGGUGCGAGCGUUAAUCGGAAUUACUGGGCGUAAAGCGAGCGCAGACGGUUACUUAAGCAGGAUGUGAAAUCCCCGGGCUCAACCUGGGAACUGCGUUCUGAACUGGGUGACUAGAGUGUGUCAGAGGGAGGUAGAAUUCCACGUGUAGCAGUGAAAUGCGUAGAGAUGUGGAGGAAUACCGAUGGCGAAGGCAGCCUCCUGGGAUAACACUGACGUUCAUGCUCGAAAGCGUGGGUAGCAAACAGG